RNAcentral lists this ribosomal RNA (292 nucleotides) under uncultured bacterium. RNAcentral describes it as "partial 16S ribosomal RNA". It matches the Rfam family "Bacterial small subunit ribosomal RNA", at positions 505 to 796 of the family's 1533-position model. The record is from RNAcentral.
GUGCCAGCCGCCGCGGUAAAACGUAGGAGGCAAGCGUUAUCCGGAUUUACUGGGCGUAAAGCGCGUGCAGGCGGCUUGGCAAGUUGGAUGUGAAAGCUCCCGGCUCAACUGGGAGAGGUCGUUCAAGACUGCCAGGCUGGAGGAUGGUAGAGGGAGGUGGAAUUCCGGGUGUAGUGGUGAAAUGCGUAGAUAUCCGGAGGAACACCAGUGGCGAAAGCGGCCUUCUGGACCAAUCCUGACGCUCAGACGCGAAAGCUAGGGUAGCAAACGGGAUUAGAAACCCCGGUAGUCC